CGAGCAGCUUCGCUAAAAGUAAGGGUGUCGUGCUGAUGGCCCUGUGGGCGCUGACCCGCGCUCUGCGCUCUCUGAGCCUGGCGCCCCCGACCGUCGCUGCCCCUGCCCCAAGUCUGUUCCCCGCCGCCCAGAUGAUGAACAAUGGCCUCCUCCAACAGCCCUCUGCCUUGAUGUUGCUCCCCUGCCGCCCAAUCCUUACUUCUGUGGCCCUUAAUGCCAACUUUGUGUCCUGGAAGAGUCGUACCAAGUACACCAUUGCACCAGUGAAGAUGAGGAAGUCUGGGGGCCGAGACCACACAGGCCGAAUCCGGGUGCAUGGUAUUGGCGGGGGCCACAAGCAACGUUAUCGCAUGAUUGACUUUCUGCGUUUCCGUCCUGAGGAGACCAAGUCAGGACCCUUUGAGGAGAAGGUUAUCCAAGUCCGCUAUGAUCCCUGUAGGUCAGCAGACAUAGCUCUGGUUGCUGGGGGCAGCCGGAAACGCUGGAUCAUCGCCACGGAAAACAUGCAGGCUGGAGAUACAAUCUUGAACUCUAACCACAUAGGCCGAAUGGCAGGUGAGAGAUGGCUACCAGAUGUGUGGGCUGGAGGCAGCAAAGGUUCUAGAGCUAAUGAAAUCCUGUCUUUUAGUUGCUGCUCGGGAAGGGGAUGCGCAUCCUCUUGGGGCUCUGCCUGUGGGGACCCUCAUCAACAACGUGGAAAGUGAGCCAGGCCGGGGUGCCCAAUAUAUCCGAGCUGCAGGUAUGGGGAAAGGAGUUGCCUGGGUCCUAUAGUUUGGAAAGGCAAGGAGAGUCUGAACCCAUGGUUCCACAUCUGGUACUGGCAGAGAAAAUUAAGGAAGAAACAAACAUGAGGAUGAAGUUAUGCAUGUGUUUUGACCUAAAACGUAGCACGCGUCCUUCUUUGUGUAUCUGCUCCUAAAGAGCAAAGCAAGGGCUGCAUGUGGGGUAUGUCCCCUAUGUAAGUCCCUCUGCACCCCCGUUUUGUAGAAGGUGGCAAAUCGGCUUCUUUCCCCAGGGA
This 1018-nucleotide small RNA is filed under the name Pongo abelii (Sumatran orangutan). RNAcentral's name for it is "retained intron". The record is from RNAcentral. Lineage: Eukaryota; Metazoa; Chordata; Mammalia; Primates; Hominidae.